RNAcentral lists this ribosomal RNA (450 nucleotides) under uncultured bacterium. RNAcentral's name for it is "partial 16S ribosomal RNA". It matches the Rfam family "Bacterial small subunit ribosomal RNA", at positions 354 to 796 of the family's 1533-position model. The record is from RNAcentral.
GUGGGGAAUCUUCCGCAAUGGACGAAAGUCUGACGGAGCAACGCCGCGUGAGUGAAGAAGGUUUUCGGAUCGUAAAGCUCUUUCGUUAGGGACGAACGUGCUCUUUGUGAAUAAUGAGGAGUAAUGACGGUACCUAAAUAAGAAGCCACGGCUAACUACGUGCCAGCAGCCGCGGUAAUACGUAGGUGGCAAGCGUUGUCCGGAAUUAUUGGGCGUAAAGCGCGCGCAGGCGGGAUAUCAAGUCUGUCUUAAUAGUGCGAGGCUCAACCUCGUGAGGGGACAGAAACUGGUAUUCUUGAGUGUCGGAGAGGAAAGUGGAAUUCCAAGUGUAGCGGUGAAAUGCGUAGAGAUUUGGAAGAACACCAGUGGCGAAGGCGACUUUCUGGACGAUGUCUGACGCUGAGGCGCGAAAGCUAGGGGAGCGAACGGGAUUAGAUACCCGGGUAGUCC